UGGGGAAUAUUGCACAAUGGGCGCAAGCCUGAUGCAGCCAUGCCGCGUGUAUGAAGAAGGCCUUCGGGUUGUAAAGUACUUUCAGCGGGGAGGAAGGGAGUAAAGUUAAUACCUUUGCUCAUUGACGUUACCCGCAGAAGAAGCACCGGCGAACUCCGUGCCAGCAGCCGCGGUAAUACGGAGGGUGCAAGCGUUAAUCGGAAUUACUGGGCGUAAAGCGCACGCAGGCGGUUUGUUAAGUCAGAUGUGAAAUCCCCGGGCUCAACCUGGGAACUGCAUCUGAUACUGGCAAGCUUGAGUCUCGUAGAGGGGGGUAGAAUUCCAGGUGUAGCGGUGAAAUGCGUAGAGAUCUGGAGGAAUACCGGUGGCGAAGGCGGCCCCCUGGACGAAGACUGACGCUCAGGUGCGAAAGCGUGGGGAGCAAACAGG
RNAcentral lists this ribosomal RNA (429 nucleotides) under Chloroflexota bacterium. RNAcentral's name for it is "Chloroflexi bacterium partial 16S ribosomal RNA". It matches the Rfam family "Bacterial small subunit ribosomal RNA", at positions 355 to 776 of the family's 1533-position model. The record is from RNAcentral. Lineage: Bacteria; Bacillati; Chloroflexota.